GAUGAACGCUGGCGGCGUGCCUAACACAUGCAAGUCGAACGAAGCACCUGAAGAGAUUCUUCGGAUGAUCUUCUGGUGACCGAGUGGCGGACGGGUGAGUAACGCGUGGGUAACCUGCCCUGUACAGGGGGACAACAGCUAGAAAUGGCUGCUAAUACCGCAUAAGCGCACAGGAAGACAUCUUCUGGUGUGAAAAACUCCGGUGGUACAGGAUGGGCCCGCGUCUGAUUAGCUGGUUGGCGGGGUAAUGGCCCACCAAGGCGACGAUCAGUAGCCGGUCUGAGAGGAUGAACGGCCACAUUGGAACUGAGACACGGUCCAAACUCCUACGGGAGGCAGCAGUGGGGAAUAUUGCACAAUGGGGGAAACCCUGAUGCAGCAACGCCGCGUGAGUGAAGAAGUAUUUCGGUAUGUAAAGCUCUAUCAGCAGGGAAGAUAAUGACGGUACCUGACUAAGAAGCUCUGGCUAAAUACGUGCCAGCAGCCGCGGUAAUACGUAUGGAGCAAGCGUUAUCCGGAUUUACUGGGUGUAAAGGGUGCGUAGGCGGCAGAGCAAGUCAGAUGUGAAAGACCGGGGCUCAACCCCGGGGCUGCAUUUGAAACUGUUUUGCUGGAGUCCGGGAGAGGCAGGCGGAAUUCCUAGUGUAGCGGUGAAAUGCGUAGAUAUUAGGAGGAACACCAGUGGCGAAGGCGGCCUGCUGGACCGGAACUGACGCUGAGGCACGAAAGCGUGGGGAGCAAACAGGAUUAGAUACCCUGGUAGUCC
This 766-nucleotide ribosomal RNA is filed under the name uncultured bacterium. RNAcentral's name for it is "bacterial SSU rRNA". It matches the Rfam family "Bacterial small subunit ribosomal RNA", at positions 28 to 796 of the family's 1533-position model. The record is from RNAcentral.